UGGGGAAUCUUGGACAAUGGGGGCAACCCUGAUCCAGCAAUGCCGCGUGUGUGAAGAAGGCCUUCGGGUUGUAAAGCACUUUCAGUGGGGAGGAAAGACUCAAAGCGAAUAUCUUUGAGUUUUGACGUUACCCACAGAAGAAGCACUGGCUAACUCUGUGCCAGCAGCCGCGGUAAUACAGAGAGUGCGAGCGUUAAUCGGAAUUAUUGGGCGUAAAGCGCGCGUAGGUGGGUAUUUAAGUCGAAUGUGAAAGCCCUGGGCUUAACCUGGGAAUUGCAUCCGAUACUGGAUAUCUUGAGUAUGGUAGAGGGAAGUGGAAUUUCCGGUGUAGCGGUGAAAUGCGUAGAUAUCGGAAAGAACAUCAGUGGCGAAGGCGGCUUUCUAGACCAAUACUGACACUGAGGCGCGAAAGCGUGGGGAGCAAACAGG
This 429-nucleotide ribosomal RNA is filed under the name uncultured bacterium. RNAcentral's name for it is "bacterial SSU rRNA". It matches the Rfam family "Bacterial small subunit ribosomal RNA", at positions 355 to 776 of the family's 1533-position model. The record is from RNAcentral.